RNAcentral lists this ribosomal RNA (486 nucleotides) under uncultured bacterium. RNAcentral's name for it is "partial 16S ribosomal RNA". It matches the Rfam family "Bacterial small subunit ribosomal RNA", at positions 30 to 507 of the family's 1533-position model. The record is from RNAcentral.
AUUGAACGCUGGCGGCAUGCCUUACACAUGCAAGUCGAACGGCAGCACGGGUGCUUGCACCUGGUGGCGAGUGGCGAACGGGUGAGUAAUACAUCGGAACAUGUCCUGUAGUGGGGGAUAGCCCGGCGAAAGCCGGAUUAAUACCGCAUACGAUCUACGGAUGAAAGCGGGGGACCUUCGGGCCUCGCGCUAUAGGGUUGGCCGAUGGCUGAUUAGCUAGUUGGUGGGGUAAAGGCCUACCAAGGCGACGAUCAGUAGCUGGUCUGAGAGGACGACCAGCCACACUGGGACUGAGACACGGCCCAGACUCCUACGGGAGGUAGCAGUGGGGAAUUUUGGACAAUGGGCGAAAGCCUGAUCCAGCAAUGCCGCGUGUGUGAAGAAGGCCUUCGGGUUGUAAAGCACUUUUGUCCGGAAAGAAAUCCUUGGCCCUAAUACGGUCGGGGGAUGACGGUACCGGAAGAAUAAGCACCGGCUAACUACGUG